This is a long non-coding RNA of Ornithodoros turicata, 1033 nucleotides long. RefSeq lists it as uncharacterized. NCBI's taxonomy places the organism in Eukaryota, Metazoa, Arthropoda, Arachnida, Ixodida, Argasidae. The record is from RefSeq and is a predicted model, not a curated record. The transcript has 3 exons.
GGUCGAACAACGAAAGUGGGGCUGCGACCUCAGUUCUCCAUCAAGAACAUUGGACUGCACAACCUUGCUCAUCCCGUCUGUAGCAGUCAUUUUAGGGAAUAUGUAACAUGUAUACUGUCUGGCACACUUAACAUACUGGGCAGCAGCAGUUGGUGACAGCAUAAAAAAGUGUUAAAGAAGAAGAAGAAGAGGAGGAAUUCUGUGCCGGCCAUAACACGCAGAGAACGCAAUGCAACUCGCAAGUGUCCUGAUAUUCAUCGCGGCGAUCAUGCCAGCCGUCUAUGUCAUGCAAUUGAUGGAACCAGUGAAGCUACAAAUGCCCGAGUGGGCUCCAUGCACCAGCGCACCGAAAACUGACGAGUGGACGUCCUUCGACCAUCAGCGGCAACCAUCGUUCCAGGUGGCCCGCCAGGAAUGUCUGGGCAACUUGACCUCUUUGCCUCUGGUUCCCUGCCCUGAGUCCUCAUCGCUUUGGCACAUGCUGAACACGGCCGUUGCUCACGUGAAUAAUUGCAAGACAGAGAAGAUUGACCUGGUCGUUCCCGAAGAUACGGAGAAGGCUGCUAAGCUGAACUGCAUCCAGGUGGAGGUGGACGGAGACAAGAAGGUGACGCUGUCCACGUGUGAAGAGUUGGAUGCGUCGCAUCUUAUCUUCCACUGUGACUACCGCUUGUAUAUUGCGGUGGGGGUGUUGGCUUUAAUCGCGAUAGCAAUUUGUGUCUGUUCCUGUUGUUGUUGCUGCUGAAAAAAGAUACUAAAUGGCGGAACAAACGGUCGUCUUGUGAUAUCACGAAGAAAUGAACUCUGAUCACGUAAUAGAAAAUCAUAUAUUUAGUGUGCUUGUGCGUUUUUUUUUUUCGUGAGUCACAAAUUAUUUUUGGAAGUGAACUAUGAACUUUCAGAUCCGCAACUGCACUCUCCCUAAGUGAUGUAGGUCCUCGCCGAAGGAGCCCCGUGCUAUAGUGUGGUUUACGAACACCGUCAGAAAGAACGCUCUCUGAGUGCUAAUAAAUUGGAAGAUAAGGAAAACCGA